UGCAGAGCUCAGCGGCACACAGUGAGGUGUGGUCAGUCCAGGACUGGGAUCCGAGCAGGAAAGGUUUAAAGUGAUUUUGACUCCCGAAGUUUCUCAGAAUCCCGGGCUGCAGGGGAGCUAAGUCCAACUAUGCGUUAGAUGAGCACCUGUGGCCCAGGCCGCGUGAGGCAGGGGCCCUUCCGGGAUCGCAUUAACUGGGGCUGGUGGAGAGGCAGCCAGGACGUUCCGUUAGAAGUCCUACAAUCAACCACACGCCCAGGCUCCCCUCUUCUGGUUCUGUUGCCUUCCGCCAGUCAGCACGAGGCUGCAGCCCACCCUCCUCCUAGACCAGCACAGCGUCCUGUCUUCUCUGAAAAGACUCCCGGAGAAUGGGGUUCUCUGACCAGGUGACCACAUCUGGUGUGGAUGGAGCCACGGGAUGGUGCCGCGCUCACGAACAGAGGCUCAACACACCCGGAUCGCCCUGCUCCGGCCCCCAGGCGUCCCACUGCCAGCCCUCUCUCCCCUCUGGCUGCAUGGCAGUGCACAACAGGAAGCCAUGUCAAGUGCCCAGCUUUUCCGAGGGUGGAAGAGAAGAGAAGAGACGGCCGACAGCUUCACAACGCUCCCUUUCCACACGUGCUUUUCCUCUAUUUGCUUCUUCGCCACACUUGGUUCACACGCCAUUUCAGGCUCCUUUUUUCCUGAGUCUUAAUGAAAAUGAAGCACGUGUCUCCACGUAAAAAUUCAUGAUUUAGCUCAGCGGUUCUGCUGCCUGUAUUGUGCAGGGUCCCGUGUUCGAUCCCCUAUACAAAAAAAAAACAAAACAAAUAAGUCCAUGUUUAAUAUUCAAUCUCUCCGUU
This 842-nucleotide long non-coding RNA is filed under the name Fukomys damarensis (Damara mole-rat). RNAcentral describes it as "lncRNA (ENSFDAG00000022092.1)". The record is from RNAcentral. Lineage: Eukaryota; Metazoa; Chordata; Mammalia; Rodentia; Bathyergidae.